This 236-nucleotide ribosomal RNA is filed under the name uncultured bacterium. RNAcentral's name for it is "partial 16S ribosomal RNA". It matches the Rfam family "Bacterial small subunit ribosomal RNA", at positions 118 to 351 of the family's 1533-position model. The record is from RNAcentral.
UGAGUAACCUGCCCUUAACUCUGGGAUAAGCCUGGGAAACUGGGUCUAAUACCGGAUAUGACUCCUCAUCGCAUGGGUGGGGGGUGGAAAGCUUUUUGUGGUUUUGGAUGGACUCGCGGCCUAUCAGCUUGUUGGUGAGGUAAUGGCUCACCAAGGCGACGACGGGUAGCCGGCCUGGAGGGGGUGACCGGCCACACUGGGACUGAGACACGGCCCAGACCUCCUACGGGAGGCAG